UACGGAGGGGACUAGCGUUGUUCGGAAUUACUGGGCGUAAAGCGCACGUAGGCGGAUUGGAAAGUUAGAGGUGAAAUCCCAGGGCUCAACCCUGGAACUGCCUUUAAAACUCCCAGUCUUGAGUUCGAGAGAGGUGAGUGGAAUUCCGAGUGUAGAGGUGAAAUUCGUAGAUAUUCGGAGGAACACCAGUGGCGAAGGCGGCUCACUGGCUCGAUACUGACGCUGAGGUGCGAAAGCGUGGGGAGCAAACAGG
RNAcentral lists this ribosomal RNA (253 nucleotides) under uncultured bacterium. Its description in RNAcentral is "partial 16S ribosomal RNA". It matches the Rfam family "Bacterial small subunit ribosomal RNA", at positions 524 to 776 of the family's 1533-position model. The record is from RNAcentral.